This 88-nucleotide non-coding RNA is filed under the name Pseudomonas gessardii. The record is from RNAcentral. Lineage: Bacteria; Pseudomonadati; Pseudomonadota; Gammaproteobacteria; Pseudomonadales; Pseudomonadaceae.
GCUUAUGGUGGCCGUGCGCAGGGCGCCUUUGGGCGCGCCGGUUUUCCUAGUGCGCCGGUCUGCUAACCUGCGCACGGCUGCCACCCUU